RNAcentral lists this long non-coding RNA (984 nucleotides) under Selaginella moellendorffii. RNAcentral's name for it is "long non-coding RNA (SMOE_LNC000935)". The record is from RNAcentral. Lineage: Eukaryota; Viridiplantae; Streptophyta; Lycopodiopsida; Selaginellales; Selaginellaceae.
UUCUACAGAUGUUUUUCAUCAGGAACACAACAUUUUUGGUGCAAGCUUAAUGGCAGAACCGGAUGGCGCCUUCGCCAGAGUCAAGACAUAUUUUGGAGUUUGCCACAAUCUCCAACUCUACCUACACACCAUUGCAGCACAAUCCUUUGUCCCCGAGCACCUGCUCAAGCUCUCGGCCCAACCGCUCCAAACCCCCGCGUUCAAAGAGGCGAUGGAGAUCCUUAACAAGAGAUACGGGGAGGAGGGCAUGGAAGCCUUGGCUCCAUUCUACAAGGAUUUGGCGUACCUGGAAGAGGUUGCAACCAUGAAAGAAGCAGCCCCAAAAUUCAAGAAGGCCAGGCUUGAACUUGAACCCUCCCCAUUUGAUGCAAGAGACUGUGCUUUGCUCAACAAGCAAGCUGACAUCCUCAAGGAGGAGUUUGGAGUUCCAGUGUCAUGGGUACUGCCGCCAAACAAGGAUAUGAAGCUGGAAGAUGGGAAAUGGCUUCCUCGAUCGAAGAGGAUUGAUGAUAUCCCUGAACCCGACAACCCGGAAUACAACUGAAGUACCAAAUCGAUGCAUGCUGUGAAGAUAAGAAUUAAUCCUCAGCAUGUUGUGCACGCUUGCAAAUGCUCUGAUCUGGAAACCAAGUGAUCAAGUUUUAAAACAAAAAUGGAACCAAAUGGUCGCUGUCGUGCUCGCUGUCGCCAAAGCUACGUGAAAUUGAUCAUGAAAGAAUCUCCUUCCAGGGAGAAAAAUCUGGUCUCGGCCAAUCGGACUCCGAACGCUAGCACCUGCCCAUUGCAAUUGCCGAUCUUCAGUUGCUCAACUCCUGCUGAGAGAGAUAAAGAACCUGGUUUUCUCGGGACGAAAAGGCUUUUUGCACAGACGCCGGACUCAAGUACAUUAUCGCUAUUGCAAUAACUCAUUCCCACCCGCCUAUCCUCUUAUGCUCAAUCUGAUAGGCAUUGAUUUGAACUAUGGGAUGCUAAGUAGUGAUUGAU